GGUAAAUGCUUCAUGAUAAUAGGUUAGGUAAAUGUUCCAUGAUAAUGGGUUAGGUAAAUGUUUCAUGAUAAUGAGUUAGGUAAAUGUUUCAUGAUAAGAAUUUCAUGUCUUUUGUAUUAAAGAAUUAAAUGGAUGAAAUAUGAAGUUUUAUUAAAAGAAAAAGGGGUGAAAAGAACAAAGUUUUGUCCAUCUUUGUUCAUCAUAGCUGAAAGUUAGAGAAGAGAAAGGAGAGGAGAAAGCUCUUGAGUAUUCGGUCAUUAGGAGGAGGAAAAUUGAAGGCGGUUCGUGUGUGGAUCUCGUCAGCAUAUCGUCGCAAACAGGUAAUCCCCAACCAUAGUGGGCUUGGAGCUGUGAGGGAAUUCGGAGUGGCCACCCGUUCUGAAAGUUUGAUUUUCUUCUGGUGAACUGGACAUCCUUGUAUUUACGUUUGAAGUUUUGGGUUUUUAAAUUUAACAAGGCCGCUUAAUUAUUUUUGAUGGUUUUAAUAUGUAUUACUAAGAUAGGUAAUACUUAUUUUAACUGUUGAAAUUGGAUAGCUUUAGGGCACGUUUUCAAAACCAACAGUUGAUUUCAAAAUAACACGUCAACAAGCAAAGCUUCCGCAAUGAAAGUAUUUUCCAAAAUUAA
Molecule: long non-coding RNA, 627 nt
Organism: Gossypium arboreum
Lineage: Eukaryota; Viridiplantae; Streptophyta; Magnoliopsida; Malvales; Malvaceae
Exons: 3
Source: RefSeq, a predicted model, not a curated record